UGACCUACGGGACGCAGCAGUGAGGAAUAUUGGUCAAUGGGCGCGAGCCUGAACCAGCCAAGUCGCGUGAGGGAUGACGGUCCUACGGAUUGUAAACCUCUUUUGCCGGGGAGCAAGCGUGCGUUCGUGAACGCGCGUCGAGAGUACCCGGAGAAAAAGCAUCGGCUAACUCCGUGCCAGCAGCCGCGGUAAUACGGAGGAUGCGAGCGUUAUCCGGAUUUAUUGGGUUUAAAGGGUGCGCAGGCGGUCUGUUAAGUCAGCGGUCAAAGCCCGGGGCUCAACCCCGGCCCGCCGUUGAAACUGGC
This 305-nucleotide ribosomal RNA is filed under the name uncultured bacterium. Its description in RNAcentral is "bacterial SSU rRNA". It matches the Rfam family "Bacterial small subunit ribosomal RNA", at positions 335 to 637 of the family's 1533-position model. The record is from RNAcentral.